GGGAGUGAAAAAGAACCUGAAACCGUGUACGUACAAGCAGUGGGAGCACGCUUAGGCGUGUGACUGCGUACCUUUUGUAUAAUGGGUCAGCGACUUAUAUUCUGUAGCAAGGUUAACCGAAUAGGGGAGCCGAAGGGAAACCGAGUCUUAACUGGGCGUUAAGUUGCAGGGUAUAGACCCGAAACCCGGUGAUCUAGCCAUGGGCAGGUUGAAGGUUGGGUAACACUAACUGGAGGACCGAACCGACUAAUGUUGAAAAAUUAGCGGAUGACUUGUGGCUGGGGGUGAAAGGCCAAUCAAACCGGGAGAUAGCUGGUUCUCCCCGAAAGCUAUUUAGGUAGCGCCUCGUGAAUUCAUCUCCGGGGGUAGAGCACUGUUUCGGCAAGGGGGUCAUCCCGACUUACCAACCCGAUGCAAACUGCGAAUACCGGAGAAUGUUAUCACGGGAGACACACGGCGGGUGCUAACGUCCGUCGUGAAGAGGGAAACAACCCAGACCGCCAGCUAAGGUCCCAAAGUCAUGGUUAAGUGGGAAACGAUGUGGGAAGGCCCAGACAGCCAGGAUGUUGGCUUAGAAGCAGCCAUCAUUUAAAGAAAGCGUAAUAGCUCACUGGUCGAGUCGGCCUGCGCGGAAGAUGUAACGGGGCUAAACCAUGCAC
RNAcentral lists this ribosomal RNA (659 nucleotides) under Escherichia coli. Its description in RNAcentral is "partial 23S ribosomal RNA". It matches the Rfam family "Bacterial large subunit ribosomal RNA", at positions 534 to 1194 of the family's 2925-position model. The record is from RNAcentral. Lineage: Bacteria; Pseudomonadati; Pseudomonadota; Gammaproteobacteria; Enterobacterales; Enterobacteriaceae.